GCAGGUUGAAGCGCGGGUAAGACCGCGUGGAGGACCGAACCCACCUGGGUUGAAAACCGGGGGGAUGACCUGGGGCUAGGGGUGAAAGGCCAAUCAAAUUCCGUGAUAGCUGGUUCUCUCCGAAAUGCAUUUAGGUGCAGCGUCGGUUGAUUGCGUCGCGGGGGUAGAGCUACCGGAUGCUUGCGGGCCCUUGUUGGGUACCAACAGCAGCCGAACUCCGAAUACCGUUGACGUGUAUUCCGGCAGUGAGUCGGCGGGGGAUAAGCUCCGUCGUCGAGAGGGAGACAGCCCAGACCGUCGUCUAAGGUCCCGAAGCGUGUGCUAAGUGGGAAAGGAUGUGGAGUCGCAUAGACAGCCAGGAGGUUGGCUCAGAAGCAGCCAUCCUUGAAAGAGUGCGUAACAGCUCACUGGUCUAGUGGUUCCGCGCCGACAAUGUAGCGGGGCUCAAGCACACCACCGAAGACGCGGCAGCAAUCUUCAUGGUUGCUGGGUAGGAGAGCGUCCUGCGAGGGGCGAAGCGGCCGGGUAACCGUGCCGUGGACUUCGUGGGAGUGAGAAUGCAGACAUGAGUAGCGAGAGACGGGUGAGGAUCCCGUCCGCUGGAUGACCAAGGGUUCCGGGGCCACGUUCGUCGUCCCCGGGUGAGUCGGGUCCUAAGGCGAGGCCGACAGGCGUAGUCGAAUGGAUGAACGGGUGGAUAUUCCCGUACCGACCAUGGACCGGCAAAACCGAGACGGUGAGUACUAACCUCCGCCUCGUGGUGGUUCCUUCCUUCGGGUUGGUUCCGUCGCGUGGUGUUGGGAGCGUAGCCGCAGUAGGUCAGCGCAGGGGUGACACGGAAUGGGAGCCGGCCGCGGAGGUGGUUUUCCGUGGUCAAGCACGCAGCCAGUCAUGUAGGCAAAUCCGCAUGGCAUGCAUGGCGAGGUGUGAUGAUGGGAGCCGUUAUGGCUCGAUAUCCGGUUGUCCAGGCCGUCGAGAAAAGCCUCGGCGUGAGGGCCAUGGCCGCCCGUACCCCAAACCGACACUGGUGGUCAGGUAGAGAAUACCAAGGCGAUCGAGCGAAUCCUGGUCAAGGAACUCGGCAAAUCACUCCCGUGCCUUCGGUAUAAGGGAGACCCACUGGGGUGAAGGACCUUGCGUCCGGAGCUUUGGUGGGUGGCACAGACCAGGGGGUAGCGACUGUUUACCAAAAACACAGGUGCAUGCGAAGGCGAAAGCCGCUGUAUAUGCACUGACGCCUGCCCGGUGCCGGAAGGUUAAGAGGAUCCGUCAAUCCCUUCGGGGACGAAGCGGUGAAUUCAAGCCCCGGUAAACGGCGGUGGUAACUAUAACCAUCCUAAGGUAGCGAAAUUCCUUGUCGGGUAAGUUCCGACCUGCACGAAUGGCGUAACGACUUCCCCACUGUCUCGACCAGGAGCUCGGCGAAAUUGCAGUACGAGUAAAGAUGCUCGUUAAGCGCAGAAGGACGAAAAGACCCCGGGACCUUUACUAUACCUUGGUAUUGGCGUUAGGCGCGGAUUGUGUAGCAUAGGCGGGAGGCUUCGAAGCGGGUGCGCCAGCAUUCGUGGAGCCGCAAGGUGAAAUACCGCUCUGUUCUCGUUUGACGUCUAACCUCGACAAGUCAUCCUUGUCAGGGACAGUGCCUGGCGGGUAGUUCAACUGGGGCGGUUGCCUCCCAAAGAGUAACGGAGGCGCUCAAAGGUCCGCUCAGCCCGGUUGGCAAUCGGGUGUCGAGUGUAAUCGCACAAGCGGGCUUGACUGCGAGGACGACGGUCCGAGCAGGGACGAAAGUCGGAGAUAGUGAUCCGGUGCCGGCGCACGGGCGCGGCAUCGCUCAACGGAUAAAAGGUACCCCGGGGAUAACAGGCUGAUCAUUCCCAAGAGUCCAUAUCGACGGGAUGGUUUGGCACCUCGAUGUCGGCUCGUCGCAUCCUGGGGCUGGAGCAGGUCCCAAGGGUUCGGCUGUUCGCCGAUUAAAGCGGCACGCGAGCUGGGUUCAGAACGUCGUGAGACAGUUUGGUCUCUAUCCUCUGCGCUCGUUGGAAUCCUGAGGAGGCCUGCCCAUAGUACGAGAGGACCUGGGUGGACGAACCUCUGGUAUGCCGGUUGUC
Molecule: ribosomal RNA, 2111 nt
Filed under: human gut metagenome
Description: bacterial LSU rRNA
Rfam family: Bacterial large subunit ribosomal RNA
Source: RNAcentral